GCUUUAAAUAGAGAUCAAUGUGUUCCAGGCUGCCUGGAUUGUGGGGAUGUAUUCACCUUCUCGUAACUCUCCAAGCAAGCUGUCACACCUACAGAAUCACCAUUUGUUUUCUUAACAAAGCUUCAGGGGGCGCCAGGCUCUCAUUGAAAUUUCAUUAAUCUAAUGGAGUAAAGUCCUAUAGAAAAACAUCAAAUUCUCGUUGGACGAGAUGCUACCUGGGAAAGAUAACCUCUGUUUGAACUCUCAGACUCGGAUCGCUCUGCUAUUAGUCUGAGGAAACAGACAGCAACAACGCUGAUUACAGCCACCGGCCUCAACAAUUUUUUUUUCUAACUAGCAAUUUCGAGUGCAAGUGCCACAGUGUCAGCUAAAGAAACACAACUGCGGGUUUUCUGCAGAGCGAAAUGGUUCUGAAAUGUCACUGAAUAGCUCACAAAGGACGCCAAUCUACGACAACAGAGACAUAAGCAUAUAGGAGAAAGGGCCCACACAUCCGCCUUUCAAAGUGUGGAGAAAAGAGAGAGAAAGGGAGAGAGGAGUCAUGGACCCUACUUUCUGGUUGCCAUGGAUGCAAGGUCAGCCUUCCACACUUGGAUCUACCAGCAGAGUUCAGACAGGUCAACGUGUGACCGGCCCAGGCCCUGGGGUUAAAAGUUCAAGCAGCGAUGGAAAAACCAAUAUGUCCACGCAGAGGAGAAGCUAUUUGGGCAAGUUUCAUUUUCCUCAUCUGUAAAAUGGAGAUAAAAAUAAGACAUGUUCCUCAGGGGAUCUUUGUCAGGAUUAAAUGAGUUAAUAUAUGUAAUGCACUUACAGGAGUUCUUGGCAUAUAAUAAGAGCCGUAUGAAUGUUUGCUAUUACGAUUAUUACUUAUUUGAGCGAGUACCUCCUUGUUUGUAAGUACUUUGUGGCACAACCGCUUGAGCAAAAUGAACUUUCACAGGUUUCAUGAAGACAUGAAGAGUAUCAUUUUCUAAAAAAUGGAGAGCUCUCAUCAGGGGUAACUGAUGGUGUUUGGUCUGUUUCUUCCUCAAGAACUUAAAAAAAUAGAAGCAUUUUCUUCCCAAUUCAUGACAUUGCUUUCAGUAGAACAUUUAAAAAAGAAACUGCUGACUUCCAAAUUGCAAGCUUGUUUUAUGUAACACUUUGGACAGUGUAUCAUCUUACUAAGGCAAACAGCUGUAAGGAGUGGUCCCAAUCACUUGGCUACAAUAUUCAUAUUACAAAUAUUGUCAUUUUCCUUUUUCACUAUAUUUAAAAAAAAACUUCAGGAUCUUACUCAUGCCAGAAUAUAACUUUGUUAGAGCCUCUUGUUAAACUUAGAACAUAUGAGUUUCCUGCUGCUAACGUAAAUAAACAUUUUGAAUUCCCUGGUAAGCACUGCCUUGACAAUUCUCAAGUAAAUUUUCUAAGGGUAUAAAUUAUAUUCUUAACUUAAGGUGGCCUCUAAUAACUCAACCACCAGCUAAAGUUUAUAUGGACUCAAAAUCCUGCAUUCACAUAAAUCCUUGUUUGUAUAAGGAAGGAUCUAUGUACAUCGAUUGAAAUACAUACAUAUGUGUCAGGAUGUAUAUAUACAUAUAUGUCCACGUAUAUAGUCUCUUAAAACUGCCCAUCUACUUGUAAAUACAUAUUCAGAGACCAGGCAAGGCAAUCAAAUCAAUUUUCAAUAGCCAAGGAGAGACGUAUGACAUUUUUUAAUACCUGCUAUAGUGUCAUGCAACUCUUUAUUCUUUAUUAUCUCUGUCAGCUACUUCUAGGUGCCUAGUAGACAAAUGCUAGUCCUAGUCCUGACCAUUUAUUUCCAUUUGGAAUUAUUUCAAGCCUAACUCUCUAGAACUGCUUGGAAAUACUGUCCUGAUAUGUUGGCCUUGCACCUUUAAGUGAGACUGAAAUCAGGGGAGGUGGAGAGGAAUCCUUAGGCAGAGACAAUUUGGCACCAUUUUUUGAGGGAAGCCUGACUUGUUUUGCCUGCACUUGCACAAAUACAAGUUCAAAAGACCCUCUUUCCAUUCUGAGCAAUAUGUGUGUGUUGCCAGAAGCAGUGUCUUUUGUUGCCAGAAGCAGUUUUUGCUGCAUGCAUCAACUUUCACUAUAUUUUUAGCAACUCUUUCUUUUAUGCCAGUUCCAGACAUCAGUUAACAGAACCCCCUUAAAGAACAGAUGUACUGAAGAAAUGCAUCAAUUCGUUAUUUGUUAUAGUUUGGGGGUGUCUGUCCUAUGGGUUUUCUAGCCAAAGGCUUAUAUGUUUCCCAAGAGAAAUUUAACUUUCAUGAGAGAAGAAAAUUGAGGCAAAUCACUGCUGUUAGACCCCGAAGUCAGAGACACUGGUUUGUUGUCCUUCUGUACAUGUGAAGAAAAAGCCCACAGUUACAGAAACACCCAUGGUUCCAAUCCAUCUCUCAUUCUUUCUCAAUGUGAAAAAUUACAAAUGAAACCAAAUUUUUCUCUGUCAAUAGAAUGCGUAUGAUUACAGCUGUUCAUAUUUUCGCUCUAAUGAAGGGCUGCACAUUUAAUUGUAAGAUUUAUUAGAGACUGUACAUUGCUGUGUACAUGCACAACAGUUAAUCGGCAUCUAAAAUGCUGGUUGUUUAUUCUGACAUUAGUGAUCAUAUUUCUUAAUUUGAAACAAAAAGCAUUUGGGGAAAAAUAU
Molecule: non-coding RNA, 2650 nt
Organism: Ictidomys tridecemlineatus (thirteen-lined ground squirrel)
Lineage: Eukaryota; Metazoa; Chordata; Mammalia; Rodentia; Sciuridae
Source: RefSeq, a predicted model, not a curated record